RNAcentral lists this ribosomal RNA (965 nucleotides) under human oral metagenome. RNAcentral's name for it is "bacterial LSU rRNA". It matches the Rfam family "Bacterial large subunit ribosomal RNA", at positions 1946 to 2925 of the family's 2925-position model. The record is from RNAcentral.
CGGUCCUAAGGUAGCGAAAUUCCUUGUCGGGUAAGUUCCGACCUGCACGAAUGGCAUAAUGAUGGCAGCGCUGUCUCCAGCAGAGACUCAGUGAAAUCGAAAUCGCAGUGAAGAUGCUGUGUACCCGCGGCUAGACGGAAAGACCCCGUGAACCUUUACUACAGCUUUACAUUGAACUUUGACCUAACUUGUGUAGGAUAGGUGGGAGGCUUUGAAGUAGUGACGCCAGUUACUAUGGAGCCAACCUUGAAAUACCACCCUGGUUAUGUUGGGGUUCUAACUUCGAAUUAACAAAUUCAAGGACAAUGUAUGGUGGGUAGUUUGACUGGGGCGGUCUCCUCCUAAAGAGUAACGGAGGAGUACGAAGGUGCGCUCAGAACGGUCGGAAAUCGUUCAAAGAGUAUAAAGGCAAAAGCGCGCUUAACUGCGAGACCCACAAGUCGAGCAGGUACGAAAGUAGGUCUUAGUGAUCCGGUGGUUCUGUAUGGAAGGGCCAUCGCUCAACGGAUAAAAGGUACUCUGGGGAUAACAGGCUGAUACCGCCCAAGAGUUCAUAUCGACGGCGGUGUUUGGCACCUCGAUGUCGGCUCAUCUCAUCCUGGGGCUGAAGCAGGUCCCAAGGGUAUGGCUGUUCGCCAUUUAAAGAGGUACGCGAGCUGGGUUUAGAACGUCGUGAGACAGUUCGGUCCCUAUCUACCGUGGGCGUUGGAAAUUUGAGAGGAUCUGCUCCUAGUACGAGAGGACCAGAGUGGACGAACCUCUGGUGUUCCGGUUGUCACGCCAGUGGCAUUGCCGGGUAGCUAUGUUCGGAUGGGAUAACCGCUGAAAGCAUCUAAGCGGGAAGCCCACCUCAAGAUAAGAUUUCCCUAAAGAGCCGUUGUAGACUACGACGUUGAUAGGUUGGGUGUGGAAGCAUGGCGACAUGUGUAGCUAACCAAUACUAAUUGCUCGUUUGGCUUGACCAU